This 794-nucleotide transfer RNA is filed under the name uncultured cyanobacterium. Its description in RNAcentral is "partial contains 16S ribosomal RNA, 16S-23S ribosomal RNA intergenic spacer, and 23S ribosomal RNA". The stretch from base 268 to 340 matches the Rfam family "tRNA". Lineage: Bacteria; Bacillati; Cyanobacteriota. The record is from RNAcentral.
CAGGGAGACAACACAAUGAUUUUGAUGCCUGAGUGCUUUUAUUCUUAGGCCGAAAUCCUGUCACCUUAGGUCGAUCGGUACCUCAGCUUUGAAGUCAAGGAUUAGCAGCAAUGUUGAUGGCUUGAUGGAAAUUUUCAGUUCCUAAACUUUGUCUAGGUCACACCCCACAAGGGUUGAGUCUCCUGGGCCAUUAGCUCAGGUGGUUAGAGCGCACCCCUGAUAAGGGUGAGGUCCCUGGUUCAAGUCCAGGAUGGCCCAUUCGGUGUUGGGGGUUUAGCUCAGUUGGUAGAGCGCCUGCUUUGCAAGCAGGAUGUCAGGAGUUCGAGUCUCCUAACCUCCACUGACCGAACUCAAUCUCCAUCGUCCGCAUUUGGAGGAUGAACUCGAGUGUUUUUGGUGUGAUUUUAGAUGUGUCCGCUGGUGAACCCAGCUUCCUGUCAUUCCAGAUGAUGAGCUUUGGCUUUGAAUUUGGUUGAUAAGAUGCUGGGCUCGAAUCAAGUGAUCAAGCAAUUGAUGAUUUGAUUUUGAGUUCUAGCAGAACCUUGACAACUGCAUAGGUAAGUCUGGAAAAACAAAGCAUCUUACAGAUGCAUUGUUUUGAAUCUGAUCUUCUGAAAGGGAGAUUGGAUCCAGAGCAAUGAAUAAUUCUUUUGAGCAAGAGCCGAGACUCUUGAGCGUUCUUGGAUUCGUGUCGAGCGAAUCUGAGUUUGAUUUUGUCUUAUGUUUCAGCGUAAGUUGAAGAGUAAGGCUUAAGAAUCUGCUUUCAACGGCGGUAAGCGUUCAGGAGAUUAAUU